Molecule: ribosomal RNA, 480 nt
Filed under: uncultured soil bacterium
Lineage: Bacteria
Description: bacterial SSU rRNA
Rfam family: Bacterial small subunit ribosomal RNA
Source: RNAcentral
GGGACGAACGCUGGCGGCGUGCUUAACACAUGCAAGUCGAACGGUAUGGCCCCUUCGGGGGUACACGAGUGGCGAACGGGUGAGUAACACGUGGGUAAUCUGCCCUGCACUUCGGGAUAAGCCUGGGAAACUGGGUCUAAUACCGGAUAUGAACUCCUGCCGCAUGGUGGGGGUUGGAAAGUUUUUCGGUGCAGGAUGAGCCCGCGGCCUAUCAGCUUGUUGGUGGGGUAAUGGCCUACCAAGGCGACGACGGGUAGCCGGCCUGAGAGGGUGAUCGGCCACACUGGGACUGAGACACGGCCCAGACUCCUACGGGAGCAGCAGUGGGAAUAUUGCACAAUGGGCGAAAGCCUGAUGCAGCGACGCCGCGGUGGGGGAUGGACGGUCUUCGGAUUCGUAAACCCCUUUGAGGUAGGGCGAAGCGACAAGUGACGGUACCUGCAGAAGAAGCACCGGACUAACUACGUGCCAGCAGCCGAC